Molecule: ribosomal RNA, 2238 nt
Filed under: Mesotaenium chlamydosporum
Lineage: Eukaryota; Viridiplantae; Streptophyta; Zygnematophyceae; Zygnematales; Mesotaeniaceae
Description: partial 23S ribosomal RNA
Rfam family: Bacterial large subunit ribosomal RNA
Source: RNAcentral
ACAUACGGCAGACAAGAGAUAACUUGGUGAACUGAAACAUCUUAGUAGCCAAAGGAAAAGAAAGCAAAAGCGAUUCCCUUAGUAGUGGCGAGCGAAAGGGGAGCAGCCUAAACCGCUCGACAAGCGGGGUUGUGGGGGAACGUUUAAGAUGGUAGAGUUGGAGGCGAAACAUUCUAAUUUGGCAUAAUGUACCCUAGAUGGUGAUAGUCCAGUAACUACAAAUCUUUACAACCUGUGUUCUAACCCGAGUAGCAUGGGGCACGUGAAACCCCGUGUGAAUCAACGAGGACCACCUCGUAAGGCUAAAUACUUCUGGGUGACCGAUAGUGAAGUAGUACCGUGAGGGAAGGGUGAAAAGAACCCAUUAAGGGGGAGUGAAAUAGAACUUGAAACCGUAAGCUUACAAGCAGUGGGAGGAGAAUUGAAUCUCUGACCGCGUGCCUGUUGAAGAAUGAGCCGGCGACUUAUAGGCAGUGGCCAGAGGUUAAGGGUUUACUGGAGCCGUAGCGAAANNNNNUCAUUUUAGGGCGUAUGUCACUGUUUAUGGACCCGAACUUGAGUGAUCUAACCAUGGCCAGGGUGAAGCUUGUGUGAAGACAAGUGAAGGUCCGAACCGAAUGAUGUUGAAAAAUCAUCGGAUGAGUUGUGGUUAGAGGUGAAAUGCCACUCGAACUCAGAGCUAGCUGGUUCUCCCCGAAAUGCGUUGAGGCGCAGCGGUUGACUGGAUUGUCUAGGGGUAAAGCACUGUUUUGGUGCGGGCUGCGAAAGCGGUACUAAAUCGAGGCAAACUCUGAAUACUAGACAGAGUCACAAAUUCUGUUGGGUCAGCCAGUGAGACGGUGGGGGAUAAGCUCCAUAGUCAAAAGGGAAACAGCCCAGAUCAUCAAUUAAGGCCCCUAAAUGAUCGCUCAGUGAUAAAGGAUGUGGGAGUGCAACAACACCUAGGAGGUUUGCCUAGAAGCAGCCACCCUUGAAAGAGUGCGUAAUAGCUCACUAAUUGAGCGCUCUGGCGCCGAAGAUGAACGGGGCUAAGCGAUCUGCCGAAGUUGUGGGAUGUCAAAGAGACAUCGGUAGGGGAGCGUUCUGCGCUAGGUUGAAGCAUCAGUGUAAGCAGGUGUGGACAAGGCAGAAGUGAGAAUGUCGGCUUGAGUAACGCAAACAUUGGUGAGAAUCCAAUGCCCCGAAAAUCCAAGGAUUCCUNCGCAAGGCUCGUCCACGGGGGGUUAGUCAGGGCCUAAGAUCAAGCCGAAGGCGCAAUCGAUGGACAACAGGUUUAUAUUCCUGUACUACUUGUUAUUGCAAAAAGAGGGACGGAGGAAACUAUAAUGUUACACUCCCAAGAAAAGCUCUUUCCUUCUGUUCUCAGAACACUCAACGAGUACCUGUACCCGAAACCGACACAGGUGGAUAGGUAGAGAAUACCUAGGGGCGCGAGAUAACUCUCUCUAAGGAACUCGGCAAAAUGGCCCCGUAACUUCGGGAGAAGGGGUGCCUUUUUUCUUUCUAAAAAAGGUCGCAGUGACCAGGCCCAGGCGACUGUUUACCAAAAACACAGGUCUCCGCAAAGUUGUAAAACGACGUAUGGGGGCUGACGCCUGCCCAGUGCCGGAAGGUUAAGGAAGUCGGUCACUUGAAAACAGGGAAGCUGGCAACCGAAGCCCCGGUGAACGGCGGCCGUAACUAUGACGGUCCUAAGGUAGCGAAAUUCCUUGUCGGGUAGUUCCGACCCGCACGAAAGGCGUAACGAUCUGGGCACUGUCUCAGAGAGAGACUCGGUGAAAUAGACUUGUCUGUGAAGAUGCGGACUACCUACACCUGGACAGAAAGACCCUAUGAAGCUUUACUGUUCCCUGGGAUUGGCUUUGGGCCCCUCUUGCGCAGCUUAGGUGGAAGGUAAGGACGGUGUCCUUCUGGGGACACUCGAACCAACAAUGAGACACCACCCUAGAGGAGCUAGGAUUCUAACCUUGAACCCAGAAGAAGGACAGGGGACAGUCCCAGGUAGACAGUUUCUAUGGGGCGUAGGCCUCCUAAAAGGUAACGGAGGCGUGCAAAGGUUCCCUCAGGCUGGACGGAAAUCAGCCUUCGAGUGUAAAGGCAAAAGGGAGCUUGACUGCAAGACUCACACGUCGAGCAGGGACGAAAGUCGGCCUUAGUGAUCCGACGGUGCCGAGUGGAAGGGCCGUCGCUCAACGGAUAAAAGUUACUCUAGGGAUAACAGGCUGAUCUUCCCCAAGA